This is a long non-coding RNA of Manis javanica (Malayan pangolin), 4662 nucleotides long. RefSeq lists it as uncharacterized. NCBI's taxonomy places the organism in Eukaryota, Metazoa, Chordata, Mammalia, Pholidota, Manidae. The record is from RefSeq and is a predicted model, not a curated record.
CACUCUCAUUCCGGCCUGAGGGGCAGACUUGAGCGUCCGGCUGGGGCCCCUCCCCGUUCUGCCUCCUGCGCCUCCCAGGCCAGUGAAGAACCACUAUCCCCUCUGACGCUUUUUAGCACAUGAAAGAUCACACCGCGCUUCAUGGGGAGAAAAUACAUCGGUCACUACUGUCACUACGUGGGGGAGGACGCCUGAGACUCCAGCUCAUCAGGACGAAAGGGCAGCUGCGCGUCCGGGAGGACGAGGCUGAAGGGUGAAGGCCGUGUGACAACAGGGGCAGAGAUCAGAAGCCACAAGCCACAAGCCAAGGACGACGAGGUGGCCAGCCCAGCCCAGGAAGCCAGGAAGAGGCUGGGGCAGCUGCUCCUCACAGCCCAGAAGGAACCUGCUCUGCAGACCCCCGGCCUUGGACUUCUGGUCUCCAGAACUGGGAGAGAAUGAACACCUGUUGUCAGGCCGCCAGCCUGGCAGUUGGUUAGGGGGCCCCAGGACACGAACACAGCGGCUCUGAUGGGCACAAUGGCCAGGUACCCACGGUUCCUGAGGCUGCAGAGCCAGAGCUCCUCCCUGCUCCGCUCAGCCCAGGCGAUCUGCUGCUCUACCCUCACCUGCUCCCAGUGCCCAGAAGCUGCCCUCGCCAAGGUCACCAGCAUACCCUGACGGCCAAAAACCCCAGUCCUCCGGGCAGCCAUUGCUCCCACACCCCCUUCCACACGCCCCCUGGAUGGAGCUGGUCCCUUGUCUCCCACCAUCUCCCUGACCGUUCUCACCCCAGGCCCUCUAGGGCCACCCAGAGGUGGGACCUCAUACUUCCUGGCCACCCCUGGCCUGCCCCCCCACUCCACUGAGCCCCCCAUGGAUCAGCCCAUCCUGGGGUCACCUCUCGCCUUCUCUAGCCUGCCCCUCCCAUCCUGUGAGCCGGGGCUGCCCCUCUGCCCCCCACCCUCACCACACACAGUAGGGGCCUCGCCCUCAGUGCCCCUUCCUGUCCUCCACCCGGGAGGUACCUGGGGGACAGCACCUCGUCUGAGCUCUCAGCUGUGCCGGUAGGAGCUCCAGGCCCAGGAGGAAGGCGCUGGGCACACGGGAGACACGCAGGCGGUGGCUGCCCUUGGGGGCCCCAGACCGGAGGUCUCCAAGCUCUGAAGGUGUGUGUGUCCGAGGCUUUGGCCGCAGAGUCCCAGAGACCCAGGUCUGAACACCCCAGGUUCCUGGCUGCCCUGCUCCCGAUCGUUGUGCCCACCCCCCGGGUUCCACACCUUCAGAGUCUACGACUGCCUCCAAGUGCCUGGAGUCAGGGGCCACUGUGACCGACUGAUUCAGCGCCUCGCAAGGUUUUCAGGUCAUGGGGCUAAGGCACCCGGGUCUGCCCUUCAAAGUGCUCCCCCAGGCCCCUGUGUCCCAGAGGCGGCUCCGGCUCCGAGCACAUUUGCUCUGUGCUGAGAAGAACUUUACAGACCGUGUGCAGUAACUGUGUGCAGCAAGCACCCCACCAACACCCAGGGCCCUAACCCAGACGCUGUCCACACAGGGGGGCCUGCCUACUUCCAGGCUGCCCAGGGCCAAGGCAGGGUCCCGAGCACAACCUUGGUCAAGGUCAAGGUCAAGGUCAAGAUCAGCAGUGCCUUGGGCCCAUCUGCUAUGGGUGGAAUGACUUGUGUCCCCGAAAGAUGUUGAAGUCCUAAGCUCUUGUACCUGUGACAUGACCUUAGUUUAGGAAUAGGGUCUUUGCAGAUGUAACUAGGUAAGAUGAGGUCACACUGAGUAGGGUGGCCCUAAAUCCAAUGACUAGUGUUCUCAUAAGAAAAAGGGAAAUUUGGACACAGACAGACACAGCAGGGCAUGUGACAAUGAAGGCAAAGAUUGGAGUAACGUGGCCACAAGCCCAGGGCUGCCUGGAGCCCCCAGGGGCUGGAAGAGGCAUUCUGGAGCCCCCAGACCGCAGGACAUGGAUAUACCCCCAACCCACUGUUGAUCAGCAAGUCCCAGGGGCACCUGCUGAGGCUAGGAGCUGCCUUUGGCCCCGCCCUUCUCUUUAUUCUGUGAGACAAGGAGGCCCUCGGGUAGGAACCAAACCUCAGGCCUGCCUCUGAGGCCAGCCAGUCCCACGUGGGGGCGUCAGGUUCAGCCACAGUGGGAGACGCUGAGGGGUCCCUGAGGGAGAGAGGAGGGUCCUCCAUCCCGGUCACACGUGGCGCCCAUCUGUGAAACAGCCGGGCUGCCCGGGAGCCUCUGACUCCUUGCAGACGCCGUCUCCCACCGUCUGGGGGCACAGGCGUCUCCGGGUGAGCUGACCCGGCCCAUGGGACAUGAGUGGACAGUGCUGGUCUAGGCUCAGACCACCGCUGGUCCAGCUCCCAUCCCACCAGCCUCAAGCUUGGAGGUGCUCUGACCGGGCAUCCUGGCAUCCUGGCAUCCUGGCCCUGCGCAGGAAUCUCACUGCCCCUGCUGCUGCCCUGAGCUCUGCCUGGCUGACCCGUGCACCACCCCUGUUGGCCCAGGUGUGAGUCACUGCCUCACACUCAGCUCCUUGGCAGCCCUCACCCCACCCUGGACGCCUCCACGCAUGGCCCCAGACGCACUCUGCCCCCGCACUGGGAAGCCCAGGCCUGGUGGCAGGGGCCCGGGCUUGACUUCCAGGCAGCUGUGCCGCAGGCCAGUGUGCCCCCUGGAGAAGGCCCUGAGCCUGGUCUCGGGCUACCACACCCAUGCCCCUCACCUGGGCGCCCUCUCUCCUAGACCUUACAAAGAUGGUCCCUGGACACCCCAUGUCCACCUUCUCGGAAGCAGCAAUGACUCCACUGAGGGGCCCUGAGGGCUGUCCGGCUCAUGCUGUGUGUAGGCGCUCCUGUCCCUUGGCCUCCUCGCUGCAGAGGCAGCAGGCAUCCCCUCCUACUGGCGCUGCUCGGGAAUCCCACUGCCCACCCCAGGCCUUUGCCCAGGGACCUACUUCAUCCCAGCACUGCACCCUCGCCACCUUCAGAGGGGCUGCGCAGGCCACCCAGCUUUGAGAGUGCCGGCCUCCUGGCCCCAUUCUAGCCCUUCGCCUGCUUUCUUUGACCCCACAGGACUCACUUCCACCUGGCCCUAGAUGGUCACUUGGUCUGCGCCCCGAACCGGAAUAUCCGUUCCUUGUCUGUGUUCUUCCCUGUUGAGCCCACAGCAUGCAGCAGGAGCCUUAAAAAUACAUGCGAAAUGAGUGAUUCCAUGAAUCCCAGCCUCAGGCCGAAUGUGGCAGGCAGUGCAGGUGGAUCCCAGGUACGUGACAGCAAUGUCACCCAGAAGGAGGGCAGAGACUAAGAGAGGCACCCCUGGGAGGGGUGGGGAGAGCGUCAGGUUGGCCUCAGCGGAAGGGAUGGCAGGAAGCUGGUGCUUCUGGGGACAGACAUUCCGGAACCCAGGCCGGAAAGCCCUCCUGGGCUAGGACUGGCGGCAGACACCUCUGCCAGUGUGUGCUGGAAGAGUGAGCUACGUGCACGUAGGGCCAGCUCCUUCCCCGCCACACAGCAGGGCGCCACGGUGACAAGAGAGGACGGCUCGCAGGGCCCUGAGAAAUGGGCGGUGUUUUCUGCUCAGCCUCAAAACCGUCCAGGCUCCCAAGCUGUUGGCAAGCUCGGCCCACCUCCUCGGCUUCCCCUCCCUGACCCCAGGCUCCAGAUAAGCUUCCGCCCACAAACUCCCAGCACCCUCCACCCAGUGAGGCCAGGCUGGACUUUGCUUAGGAAGAAACGGCGAACAGCUCCCAGAUAACUUUCUUAAACAAAUGCGGUUUAUUAAACCUCCUGCAAGCACGAGCCUCUGCUGGGUGGUGGGUGGCAAUGAGCGCCCACCCCGUGAUGCCCACGUUCUCUGUAGGGCUGAAAGCGGAGUGUAGGGCGGUGCUGUUGGGGUGACUGCACCUGGUGCCACCACUUUAGGAGAGUCCCUGGAGGCAUCUGCUUGGCAUACUCAAACCUCAAGACCCCCAAGUCUCUCCCCUGGGUGCCCACCCACAGGACACAACAUUCUGUCCCCCACAUGCCACCUAGAAUGUACGAAACAGCGAUAUUUCAAUAGCUCCCAAAGCGACGCUGCCCACAGUGGGGGAACAGGCUGCGCCACAGCCACACGAUGGGGCACUGCUGAGCACUUGGGGCCCUGCAGCUACAGCGACACUGGGGGUGGCCCUCAGACAGGUGCGAGAAAGGAGCAGACACAGGGGACAACGUGACCGUGGGCUCAAACACAGGCGAGCCGAGUCAGUGGUGCAGAAAAUCAGAAGAGUGCCUGCUCGGGUUGAGGAGCAGCCGGAAGGCACAGGAAACGUCCUGCAACGUGAUGGGGCCUGGUCUGCCCAAAUUCACCACGUUGCAUAGCUAAGAUGAGCAUGUUUUGCUGUAUGUGAAUUUUAUCUCAAUAGAAUAAAGAGAAAUGAGUACAAAUACAGAAGUCUAGUAAGUAGGUUUUGCUUUUCACAGUGGCGGAAGUCAGCAUUUCUAAACUGCAUUUUUUCUAUUUUAGAGUUCAGCAAAUGAGCAAAUAUUAAGGAUAAUGGGAGCCAAGCUCCUCAUUGUUGGUUAGGGGAGUUGAUCUAGAGAGAAAGAACCUUGACUGUGGUCUGAGGCGAGGGAUUAUCAGCAGGAAGUCGUGGCCAUAUAAGGAAGUAUUGGAAGGAUACAUGAG